CACACACACACACACACACACACAUACACAUGCACACACACACACACACACAAAGAUCAAGUAAUUCAUUUUUACAUGCUAGGAUGCAUAUCAUGCCUAGUUCACAAAUACAGUGUACCUUCAGGGAACAUAAACUUGAUACAUAAAAUUAAAUUUGUAAGGACAAAAACGAUAGACUUUAUAAGCCAGACACUGUACAGCAGGGGGGUUAAUACAAUUGCUAUUUUGGGAUCAUUUCUGGUGUCUUAUGUAUUUUGAAUGUAUUGUUUGAGACCUCAGUUUGUACAAUGAUUAAUUGUUAACAUUUUAGUUGUAUAACACUAUAUUCUAUUACGCAUAUGGUACAGAUAAAUAUAUGAAGAGUUAUGGUAUACACCUAUAUAGAGUUAUUUAAAGUAGUUUAAAUUAAGUUUAGAAUUGUGAAGGCUUAUAUUUUACUUAUCUCAACUGAUACUUUAUUAACCAGUGUAGCGCUGGGGAUAGCCACUGCCAAAGUAUUUUAUCAAAUAGAGUUGAAUAAAUUUGUUAAAAGACCACUUGCAUAUUUGUACAUCACAAUCAAUAAAUAGAGAACAAUAUACAUUAGGUAUAUAGAAUGCAGCAUAUUUACUAAACAAUCAAAUUUACCUCACUGACAAAAAUGUAAAUUUAAUUUAUAAAUCCUGAUACUCAUAAGAAGCAUUUGUGGACCAAAACUUUUGUUUCUGAUGCUACAUUUGUCAGGCUGUAUAGGUGACAGAGAGUUUAGAGUUUUGGUCUAUUACCAAUAGAAAGAUGGUAAAAAUGUGGUAGAACAUGGUAUGCUGCUGGCACAAAGCAUUGACAAUUGUGAAAUAUGAAAUCAAAGCUAAAGGGUUGUUCAUGCUGAGAAAGAUAACGAUAACGCUAAAGGCAAAAAAGAAGGCAAAAUCACUCUAGCCAAUAUGAGUGAUAACACAUAUCCACACAUUAACUGUAACAAAAACGACAUGAAGAACAAUAUCAUCCGGGAUCACUUUCAGAGCGAUUAUGAGAACGAUACAAAUCUGACAGUCAAUCAGAAUAAUCCUUUAAAUUCUAGACAGCACAUUAAUCAACACAGAUAUAUAUAUAUAUUUAUCAAUGGCCAGUGUGGAGGCUCGUCCACAAAUAUCUUUAUAGUUAUUGUUCCUGGUGUGAACGGCCCUUAAUCUAGACUGAAAUGUGACAUGACAUGAGGUUUUAUUACAAAUGUCAUGGACUAAUGUUAAGACAGUCCAUGGAGUUUUUGGACAAGAGACAUUUAUCGCAACCAUUAUGAAAGUUAUAAAGACCAGUACAAGGACUAGAUCGUUUUGCUCCAAAAUGUCCAUCAGAAAAGUCUCUAAAACCUAAUUGUAUCACUGGAAUUGAUUUAUUCUGUAUGAGCUGUUUGGAAAUGCUUAUUGCAUGUAAAGCCCUUAUUCAGGUUACCCAAAUGAAUCUGAACCGAAUCCAAUAAAGUGCAGGUCAUGUGGAGGUGUGCCCUGUGAAUGUUGGUUGUGAUGGCAUGAAGUCAUGGGCACUCUUUAUACAUAUUCUUGAUGUCCCUUUUAAAACAUUAUUACACUGUGUUCACUGUAAAGAUGUCAUGACAUUUGAAAAUGCUUUGGAAAAACAAUCUAUUCUUUCUGUAACGUCUAAUUUUGUGAUAGUUAAAUGUAUAUUGCUAAUUUUGAGGACAACUACAUGUUAUCAUAGUACUCAGGCAGGGAAACACACACACACACACACACACACACACAUAAACACACAUACUGCACUUGUUUUGUUUGAUGUUAUAAAGAUGUGUGUUGGUGUCAUUGCUUAGGCAUUUGUUUAAAGCUGCUAACAACUAACACAUUCAAUUAAAUCAAUAAUUGAGGGUGUAUGUGGCUUAUUUGUACUAAAACCAAGCACAGCACAGCCCAAUGUCAACAACAACAACAACAACAACAAAAUACAAAUUUACCUCUGACUUUUCUAAAAUGAAUAAAUGCAUGCCAAUUUCAUAGAUAACAAAAAUGUCUAAAGUAAAACAUUUGGCAUUAUACAACACAUAUCCUCACCCCCUUACCCAAACCCAACCCACCCUCUCCUACCCCCUCUCCAUGGGUCUCAGACUCCAGGGGGAGCCUUAGAAACUAGCCCCAGCCCUUUGCCUAGCUGUCUAUGUGCGCUCAUGCAUGCUUCUACUGCUACCUGUGUCCGGUUGUGGCGGAGUUGGUGGCAGAUGAAAAUAGCUUGUGCUGCAUUGUCACGAAGAAUGAUCUGUAGUCACGGACAUAAUUUGAAAUAAAAAGACAAAAUGAUUUGGAAAAAA
Molecule: long non-coding RNA, 2299 nt
Organism: Alosa sapidissima (American shad)
Lineage: Eukaryota; Metazoa; Chordata; Actinopteri; Clupeiformes; Clupeidae
Exons: 2
Source: RefSeq, a predicted model, not a curated record